CAGUAGCCGCGGGAACACGAACCGUGCGAACGUUAUUCGGAAUCACUGGGCUUAAAGCGCGUGUAGGCGGGACGGCACGUCGACUGCUGAAAUCCCUCGGCUUAACCGAGGAAGUGGCAUCGAUACGACCGUCCUGGAGGAACGUAGGGGGACCUGGAACUUCCGGUGGAGCGGUGAAAUGCGUUGAGAUCGGAAGGAACGCCCGUGGCGAAAGCAAGGUCCUGGACGUUUUCUGACACUGAGACGCGAAAGCCAGGGGAGCGAACGGGAUUAGAUACCCGGGUAGUCCCUGUCUCUUAUA
Molecule: ribosomal RNA, 301 nt
Filed under: uncultured bacterium
Lineage: Bacteria
Description: partial 16S ribosomal RNA
Rfam family: Bacterial small subunit ribosomal RNA
Source: RNAcentral